AUGUCGUCUCGAUCCGUUGCCCGCCGCCGCCGUCGCAAACGAUCUCCUCUGUCGUCACGAUCCCUUGCCCGCCGCCGUCGCCGCCGGCGCAGCAGCAGAUCGCUGGUGGCGCGUGCCCCCCUGCCGGACAACGACGAUCUCCUCGAGGAGAUCCUUCUCCGUCUCCGGCCGUCCUCCCUGCCACGCGCCUCCGCAGUCUGCAAGAGAUGGCGGCGCCUCGUCGCCGACCCCAGGUUCCUCGACCGUUUUUGUGCGCACCACCGGAAGCCGCCGCUCCUUGGAUUCUUCGAAGAGAUCGUCGUAUGGACCCCCAUGACCGGCGAGCAGCGCUGCGUGGCCGUUCCUCCAUUGUUCAAGAAGAGCUUCCUCAACGGGGCGGUGCUCUGCACGACUGCAAACAAGGGCCACGUCCACGGUGCCUGCCAGUUCAGCCACUUCAAGGUGGUCUUGGUGUGCAAGGACAGAAAGGAAAAGAAGCUCCUUGCCUUUGUUUACUCCUCGGACACUGGUGUAUGGGGCAAUCUUAUCUCAAUAGAGGUUCCGUCUCAUAUCCGUGACACAUGCACUCAUGGGUCACUUGUUGGUAAUGCGUUUUAUUGGUUGUUGUCUACAAAGGAUGGCAUACUUAAGUUCGACUUGGAUAUGCAAAGUCUAGCUUUGAUUAAGGGGCCUCCGGUUGCAAAUAAUUUUUGCCGUGACAGACGCCGGAUCAUUCAAACAGAGAAUGGUGUUGUUGGCCUUGCCAUAUUGUAUUACCCUCACCUCGAAAUAUGGCAGAUGAAGACCGUUAAAAUGUGUACCGUUCUUGGGCUGCCUCCUCAGAUUGAGGAAGGAGACGCAAAAUAUAUGGCAUACUCUGAAGACAUUGAUGCAAUUUUUAUAUACGUGAACACCAAUGUAUAUAUGGUUGAACUUAAGUUGAUGCAAUCCAAAAGACUUCAUGAAGGCCAUCAUAUCAAUAACUACCAUCCUUUCACGAGUCUCUAUACACCAGGUGAUUACUCAUACUUAGUCUUUAUCUUGCAGGAGUAA
This 1032-nucleotide ribosomal RNA is filed under the name Triticum aestivum (bread wheat). RNAcentral's name for it is "partial small subunit ribosomal RNA". Lineage: Eukaryota; Viridiplantae; Streptophyta; Magnoliopsida; Poales; Poaceae. The record is from RNAcentral.